GGUUGAUCCUGCCAGUAGUCAUAUGCUUGUCUCAAAGAUUAAGCCAUGCAUGUCUAAGUAAAAGCAAAUUUUUACAGCGAAACUGCGAAUGGCUCAUUAAAUCAGUUAUGAUCUACAUGACAAAUACUUUACUACUGGAUAACCGUGGUAAUUCUAGAGCUAAUACAUGCAGAAAAGGCCUGACUUCGGGAGGGCUGCACUUAUUAGAUCAAAACCAUCCUGGGUAAAACCAGUUCUAUGGUGAUUCAUAAUAAUUAAGCUGAUCGCAUGGCCUUGCGCCGGCGACGGUACAU
Molecule: ribosomal RNA, 293 nt
Filed under: uncultured eukaryote
Lineage: Eukaryota
Description: partial 18S ribosomal RNA
Rfam family: Eukaryotic small subunit ribosomal RNA
Source: RNAcentral